Oncorhynchus tshawytscha (Chinook salmon) is the source of this 380-nucleotide long non-coding RNA. The record is from Ensembl. NCBI's taxonomy places the organism in Eukaryota, Metazoa, Chordata, Actinopteri, Salmoniformes, Salmonidae.
CUGGACAGAAGUGGCACUUCCUGUGUAACUCAUGGCUGGCCAUAGAUAUGGGCGAGUGCAUCCUUGAUAAAGUCUUCCCUGUUGCCUCUGACAUGGAUUUGAAGAAAUUCAGAUGAGGCAAAGGAUUUCCGUGAUGGCCACAUCUGGUUUUCUGUGAUCAGCUUACUUCCUGACUCAGCACAUUCGGCAGAGCUUCAGCCAAGGGAUCUCAGACAGCAUGAGCCACAGAGAUGUGUUCACCGGUGCAAAUACCUCUCUUCUCAGUAACCUCUUUGGAGACUACCCAGGUUUCAUCACAGAUGGGAACUCCAAACUGGUUGGUAAUGCCCAUCUUUGCCAGGUGAGGGUGCAGAAGACGGGCAUUAGGAGCGUUGACCAGG